RNAcentral lists this transfer RNA (75 nucleotides) under Planctomycetes bacterium RIFCSPHIGHO2_12_FULL_52_36. RNAcentral describes it as "tRNA-Gln". It matches the Rfam family "tRNA". From Rfam's summary of the family: Transfer RNA (tRNA) molecules are approximately 80 nucleotides in length. Their secondary structure includes four short double-helical elements and three loops (D, anti-codon, and T loops). RNAcentral also lists the same sequence under 2 other names. Lineage: Bacteria; Pseudomonadati; Planctomycetota. The record is from RNAcentral.
UACCCGGUGGUGUAAUUGGUAACACUAGAGAUUUUGGUUCUCUUAUUGGAGGUUCGAGUCCUCCCCGGGUAGCCA